RNAcentral lists this ribosomal RNA (198 nucleotides) under uncultured bacterium. Its description in RNAcentral is "partial 16S ribosomal RNA". It matches the Rfam family "Bacterial small subunit ribosomal RNA", at positions 328 to 539 of the family's 1533-position model. The record is from RNAcentral.
ACGCUCGACACCUACGUGAGGCAGCAGUGGGGGAUAUUGCACAAUGGGCGCAAGCCUGAUGCAGCGACGCCGCGUGAGGGAAGACGGUCUUCGGAUUGUAAACCUCUGUCUUCGGGGACGAUAAUGACGGUACCCGAGGAGGAAGCCACGGCUAACUACGUGCCAGCAGCCGCGGUAAUCUGAGCGGGCUGGCAAGGC